GGGGCAGGGUGAGUCGACCCCUAAGGCGAGGCCGAAAGGCGUAGUCGAUGGGAAACAGGUUAAUAUUCCUGUACUUGGUGUUACUGCGAAGGGGGGACGGAGAAGGCUAUGUCAGCCGGGCGACGGUUGUCCCGGUUUAAGCAUGUAGGCGGAGGUUCCAGGUAAAUCCGGUACCUUAUUAACGCUGAGGUGUGAUGACGAGGCACUACGGUGCUGAAGUGAUAAAUGCCCUGCUUCCAGGAAAAGCCUCUAAGCAUCAGGUAACACGAAAUCGUACCCCAAACCGACACAGGUGGUCAGGUAGAGAAUACCAAGGCGCUUGAGAGAACUCGGGUGAAGGAACUAGGCAAAAUGGUGCCGUAACUUCGGGAGAAGGCACGCUGAUAUGUAGGUGAAGUCCCUGCGGACGGAGCUGAAAUCAGUCGAAGAUACCAGCUGGCUGCAACUGUUUAUUAAAAACACAGCACUGUGCAAACACGAAAGUGGACGUAUACGGUGUGACGCCUGCCCGGUGCCGGAAGGUUAAUUGAUGGGGUUAGCGGCAACGCGAAGCUCUUGAUCGAAGCCCCGGUAAACGGCGGCCGUAACUAUAACGGUCCUAAGGUAGCGAAAUUCCUUGUCGGGUAAGUUCCGACCUGCACGAAUGGCGUAAUGAUGGCCAGGCUGUCUCCACCCGAGACUCAGUGAAAUUGAACUCGCUGUGAAGAUGCAGUGUACCCGCGGCAAGACGGAAAGACCCCGUGAACCUUUACUAUAGCUUGACACUGAACACUGGUCCUUGAUGUGUAGGAUAGGUGGGAGGCUUUGAAGCGUGGACGCCAGUCUGCGUGGAGCCAACCUUGAAAUACCACCCUUUAAUGGCUGGUGUUCUAACGUAGACCCGUAAUCCGGGUUGCGGACAGUGUCUGGUGGGUAGUUUGACUGGGGCGGUCUCCUCCCAAAGAGUAACGGAGGAGCACGAAGGUUGGCUAAUCCUGGUCGGACAUCAGGAGGUUAGUGCAAUGGCAUAAGCCAGCUUGACUGCGAGCGUGACGGCGCGAGCAGGUGCGAAAGCAGGUCAUAGUGAUCCGGUGGUUCUGAAUGGAAGGGCCAUCGCUCAACGGAUAAAAGGUACUCCGGGGAUAACAGGCUGAUACCGCCCAAGAGUUCAUAUCGACGGCGGUGUUUGGCACCUCGAUGUCGGCUCAUCACAUCCUGGGGCUGAAGUAGGUCCCAAGGGUAUGGCUGUUCGCCAUUUAAAGUGGUACGCGAGCUGGGUUUAGAACGUCGUGAGACAGUUCGGUCCCUAUCUGCCGUGGGCGCUGGAGAAUUGAGGGGGGCUGCUCCUAGUACGAGAGGACCGGAGUGGACGCAUCACUGGUGUUCGGGUUGUCAUGCCAAUGGCACUGCCCGGUAGCUAAAUGCGGAAGAGAUAAGUGCUGAAAGCAUCUAAGCACGAAACUUGCCCCGAGAUGAGUUCUCCCUGAGACUUUAAGUCUCCUGAAGGAACGUUGAAGAC
This 1498-nucleotide ribosomal RNA is filed under the name Enterobacter hormaechei. RNAcentral's name for it is "bacterial LSU rRNA". It matches the Rfam family "Bacterial large subunit ribosomal RNA", at positions 1371 to 2845 of the family's 2925-position model. The record is from RNAcentral. Lineage: Bacteria; Pseudomonadati; Pseudomonadota; Gammaproteobacteria; Enterobacterales; Enterobacteriaceae.